CUUGACACUGAACAUUGAGCCUUGAUGUGUAGGAUAGGUGGGAGGCUUUGAAGCGUGGACGCCAGUCUGCGUGGAGCCAACCUUGAAAUACCACCCUUUAAUGUUUGAUGUUCUAACGUUGGCCCCUUACCGGGGUUGCGGACAGUGUCUGGUGGGUAGUUUGACUGGGGCGGUG
This 175-nucleotide ribosomal RNA is filed under the name Klebsiella pneumoniae. RNAcentral describes it as "partial 23S ribosomal RNA". It matches the Rfam family "Bacterial large subunit ribosomal RNA", at positions 2110 to 2284 of the family's 2925-position model. The record is from RNAcentral. Lineage: Bacteria; Pseudomonadati; Pseudomonadota; Gammaproteobacteria; Enterobacterales; Enterobacteriaceae.